RNAcentral lists this ribosomal RNA (429 nucleotides) under Acidobacteriota bacterium. RNAcentral describes it as "Acidobacteria bacterium partial 16S ribosomal RNA". It matches the Rfam family "Bacterial small subunit ribosomal RNA", at positions 355 to 776 of the family's 1533-position model. Lineage: Bacteria; Pseudomonadati; Acidobacteriota. The record is from RNAcentral.
UGGGGAAUUUUGGACAAUGGGGGAAACCCUGAUCCAGCCAUCCCGCGUGUGCGAAGAAGGCCUUCGGGUUGUAAAGCACUUUUGGCAGGAAAGAAACGUCAUGGGUUAAUACCCCGUGAAACUGACGGUACCUGCAGAAUAAGCACCGGCUAACUACGUGCCAGCAGCCGCGGUAAUACGUAGGGUGCAAGCGUUAAUCGGAAUUACUGGGCGUAAAGCGUGCGCAGGCGGUUCGGAAAGAAAGAUGUGAAAUCCCAGAGCUCAACUUUGGAACUGCAUUUUUAACUACCGAGCUAGAGUGUGUCAGAGGGAGGUGGAAUUCCGCGUGUAGCAGUGAAAUGCGUAGAUAUGCGGAGGAACACCGAUGGCGAAGGCAGCCUCCUGGGAUAACACUGACGCUCAUGCACGAAAGCGUGGGGAGCAAACAGG